RNAcentral lists this transfer RNA (86 nucleotides) under Puniceicoccales bacterium. RNAcentral's name for it is "tRNA-Leu". It matches the Rfam family "tRNA". From Rfam's summary of the family: Transfer RNA (tRNA) molecules are approximately 80 nucleotides in length. Their secondary structure includes four short double-helical elements and three loops (D, anti-codon, and T loops). The record is from RNAcentral. Lineage: Bacteria; Pseudomonadati; Verrucomicrobiota; Opitutia; Puniceicoccales.
GCUCGGAUGGCGGAAUGGUAGACGCUGAGGACUUAAAAUCCUUUGCCAGUAAUGGCGUGCGGGUUCGACUCCCGCUCCGAGCACCA